UCCUCCUGCCUCAGCAUCUCAAGUGCUGAUAUUACAGACUGCUGCUGUAGUGCUGUAGUGCUGUAAACGUUCUAGUGUCUGUCAUUUGGUGAACCGAUGAGCGGAUUUCUGUACAGCCUCUUGAUGGAAACAAGGGACUUCGUGGAUCUGAAAUGCUUGAGGCUGCUCCUCGGGGAGCAUAGCACUCUUCUUAAAGGAAAGAGUGGCGGCCCCGCCUGCCCACUUCUAUUCCACCUGUCUGUGUGCCAAAGCACAGCGCUGGUUCAUCUGAGUUACCAAUAGCUGGUGUAUGUCCUUGCCUGGGUCCUGGAGGACCCUUGCCUGGGGUGGUCCAGUGGAAUGCAUCCUGCUGCCAAUGCCUCUGCUGUGAGUGCCUUGCUGGAUCACUGGGGGUCUCGGCCUGGGACAGUCAGGCUGCGUGUGCCCUGAUACCACUGCUGCCACUGUGGGUGCCUUGCUGGGUCUGAGGAAUAGUUUUGAGCAAAGAUUAUAUUUUGCUUAGACCCACCUCCUCCCUCCUUUGAG
Molecule: long non-coding RNA, 525 nt
Organism: Chinchilla lanigera (long-tailed chinchilla)
Lineage: Eukaryota; Metazoa; Chordata; Mammalia; Rodentia; Chinchillidae
Exons: 3
Source: RefSeq, a predicted model, not a curated record